This 253-nucleotide ribosomal RNA is filed under the name uncultured bacterium. RNAcentral describes it as "partial 16S ribosomal RNA". It matches the Rfam family "Bacterial small subunit ribosomal RNA", at positions 524 to 776 of the family's 1533-position model. The record is from RNAcentral.
UACGAGGGGAGCAAGCGUUGUUCGGAUUUACUGGGCGUAAAGGGCGCGUAGGCGGCGUGACAAGUCACUUGUGAAAUCUCCGGGCUUAACUCGGAACGGUCAAGUGAUACUGUCGUGCUAGAGUACAGAAGGGGCAACUGGAAUUCUCGGUGUAGCGGUGAAAUGCGUAGAUAUCGAGAGGAACACCUGCGGCGAAGGCGACUGUCUGGGGUUUUGCUGACGCUGAGGCACGAAGGCCAGGGGAGCGAACGGG